Molecule: ribosomal RNA, 464 nt
Filed under: Vreelandella stevensii
Lineage: Bacteria; Pseudomonadati; Pseudomonadota; Gammaproteobacteria; Oceanospirillales; Halomonadaceae
Description: partial 16S ribosomal RNA
Rfam family: Bacterial small subunit ribosomal RNA
Source: RNAcentral
CCUACGGGGGGUGCAGUGGGGAAUAUUGGACAAUGGGCGAAAGCCUGAUCCAGCCAUGCCGCGUGUGUGAAGAAGGCCUUCGGGUUGUAAAGCACUUUCAGUGGGGAAGAAAGCCUUGGGGCUAAUACCCUCGAGGAAGGACAUCACCCACAGAAGAAGCACCGGCUAACUCCGUGCCAGCAGCCGCGGUAAUACGGAGGGUGCGAGCGUUAAUCGGAAUUACUGGGCGUAAAGCGCGCGUAGGCGGUCUGAUAAGCCGGUUGUGAAAGCCCCGGGCUCAACCUGGGAACGGCAUCCGGAACUGUCAGGCUAGAGUGCAGGAGAGGAAGGUAGAAUUCCCGGUGUAGCGGUGAAAUGCGUAGAGAUCGGGAGGAAUACCAGUGGCGAAGGCGGCCUUCUGGACUGACACUGACGCUGAGGUGCGAAAGCGUGGGUAGCAAACAGGAUUAGAUACCCCUGUAGUC